CCCCCCCUCAGGUCGCACCUGGAGAGUUUCCAGUCCUCUACCAGUCUCAGCUAUGGGAGGCAGAGGCAAGCAGAGGCAGAACCAUUCCAUUCCUAGCUUGGGCAGUGGCUAGCGAGUGGAAGGCAAUCUGCUUCAAAU
Ornithorhynchus anatinus (platypus) is the source of this 138-nucleotide small nucleolar RNA. NCBI's taxonomy places the organism in Eukaryota, Metazoa, Chordata, Mammalia, Monotremata, Ornithorhynchidae. The record is from RefSeq and is a predicted model, not a curated record.